Mustela erminea (ermine) is the source of this 2670-nucleotide long non-coding RNA. RefSeq lists it as uncharacterized. The transcript is spliced from 2 exons. Lineage: Eukaryota; Metazoa; Chordata; Mammalia; Carnivora; Mustelidae. The record is from RefSeq and is a predicted model, not a curated record.
CAGGACCCUGAGAUCAUUAUCUGAGCCGAAGGCAGAGGCUCAACCCACUGGGCCACCCCAACGCCCCAGUAAAAAUCUAUUUAGAUAGCAAAUAUUCUCCUUAUUUUUAUUGAGGUAUAAUUGACAUACAAUAUUAUAGUAGUUUCAGGCUUACUACAUGGUAGGAUAUUUGUAUGUAUCAUGAAAUGAUCACCACAGUAAGUCUAGUUGAAUAUCCAGCACUGUAUAGCGUUAUAGGUUUUUUUCCUUGUAAUUGGUAUUUUCAAGAUUUGCUCUCUUGGCAGCUUUCAAAUAGACAAUACAGUAUUACUAGCUAUGGUCACCUUGCUGUACAUCACAUAACUUAUUUAUUUCAUAACUGAAAGUUUGUACCUUUUGAUCACCUUCAUCCAUUUUGCUCACCUCCCUACCCUCAUUGCUGGCAACCAUGCAUGUAUUCUAUUUAAAAAAUAUAGAUUUCUUUGAAACAGAAAGGGGUCAUUUCUUGGGUUAACUUAUAAGAUUUUGGCCUAAUAGGUAAACAUAUGUGUCAUUGCUUCUGAGUUUUUCUUUGCUGGGGAUUCAGUCCUCCCCUUUGCUCAUUGGCAGAAUCCUACUUAUGCUUUAGGGCCCAGUUCCCCAGCUCAGAUGCCACUUGCUCCCAGACCUAUCGUCUUUCCUGCAUGAGAAGUGAUUGUCCCUCCAUCUAGAUUCUCAUUUAGUCUUUCCCACUGUUUCAUGACAAUUUGUUUUUCUGAUUUUGAUUUCCCAAAAGACUGUGAAGAUAAAUAUUGUGGUUAUCUUCAACAUUAUAUCUUGGACUCAGUAUUGACAGUGACAAAAAUCGAGCACUCAAACAUUGAAUUAUUAUUAUUAUUUUUGAUUGGGUCUUUAAAAUUUAGAAAUCAGAUUAAGUUCAAAUGAAUCCUACUCAAUUAUUUUUAGAUUAGUCCUCACCAGGUCUAGCAUUUUAUGAUUCCAGAAGGAAUAAGUAAUUUUUACUAUCUUUAACAAUAAUGAUGAUGAUAAUAACAAUAAUAAAAAUACAGUAGUCAAUAUAUCAAGGCAAUUUAUUAUAUCCCAUAUACAUCCCAUCUACAUGGGAUGGUGAUUAAUACAUAUGCCCAUUUUAUUUUGGUAUCUGCCCUGUGGUGUCAGUGUCAUUAUCAUAUUGACGGCUGUAGAAGAGAUUAUGUAACUUAAUCAAGGUCACAUAACUAGUAAUUGGCAAGAUUUAAACCUAGAUCUGAUUUCUGAGUUUAUCUGUCAAUCUGAGUUGGAACUAAAAGGUGAACAAACCAGGCACCCUUCUGUGGUAUUUAUUUAUAAGUCCUAGUAACACAUGAAUCAUUGGAAUAAAAAUAAAUACCACCAGUUAAAAUAUGUUUCCAUAUGUUAAUUCUUACCUUUCUGGGGGGAAAAAAAAAGCCACAGUUGUGCCCCAGAGGAAACCUUAGCUUUCAUUGGAUUCUUUUUGUCUUCUGACUCCUCUAUGCUUAACUAUUACUCCUUUACACUUACUGGUCUCGAUGAUUUUAAAGUCUUGUCCUCAAAGCUAGGCCUUGGUCAAAUCUUUCUCCGUUCCCUAAGCUAGAAGCAGCAUCUGUUCUGAAACCAUACAGGGUUUUUGUUUUUAUAGCUCUUGACUUCUCUCUAGUGUCUUCGUUCUAACAAGGUGAUAAAAUGGCAUUCAGUUUGAGCUGAGGUCCUAUGUGCCCAUUACUCUCAUGGUCCAAAGUUGCACCUAAGCAGGACUUGCUAAGGGUGGGUUGUGGAUCACAGGUUUGGGAAUCCCAGCUCAGCACCCGCCUUCAGCCUGUAGAUGAGGCUGGCUGGGUGGUAGGAGAAUUGGAAAUUAGAGGGAGAUGAUGUGGCUAGUGUGUUGUGAGCCCCAUCUCAGCAGCUGGGUGGCAAGGAGAGCCUGAUAAGUGUGUCCUGGAGCUUGGGGGGAGUAGAGGGGACCAUGCAUCAGUCAUGCCAGAGAAAUCUAAAGGGGAAGAAGCUGUAUGAUGCAGCCAGUGGCAGACAAUAGAUGGGAAGUAACUCUUUCCCCCGCUGACGGUGCAUUCAAGCUGGUCAGAGAUGGGGCAGGGCACCCACCUGUGGGUGGAGCAGGCAGCUUUGAGUGUGUGCACAGCAAACCAGAGCAGAUUCUUGCUGGGCAUUAGAACUUGCUCUCCCUUUACCUUCCCAGUGGGGUUAGAAGCAACUGCUCAUCAGCCAGUAGGUGGCUGGGGAAAUCUGCUGGCCACGAUGCUCUACUUUUACAUGAAGUCCAGAGUUUGGUUUUUACACGAACUGGGUAUUUAAUGACAGAACUGAGACUGCUCUAGGGACUUUUUAUUAUGCAACACGUGGUACCCAACUGGGGGGGUCCACCUUAGAUUUAAUCCAGGGCCCAAGGAAGAUUUAGCCUGGCAGAAAGGAUUUAUAGGAGUGCUUGAGAAGAGGAAAAAAGUUGCUUUAUGGUUUUGCAUAUUGCUUUUUCAGUGCCCUGGUUCUUAUGUUUUCUCUCCCUCUUCUUUUGAGCUCCUCGUGUGUGGGAGCUUGGCAAGUUGAGAGAACUGAUUCCUUAGUCAUCUCUGGGAAUUAUACAGAGCCAAACAUCCAUUUGUUUGACAUCUAGAUAUUGAAUAAAUAGUUCCUUAUGAGAUUAAGCAAAAUGUGAUUUUUUUAAGCAAAGAAAAAGAA